UGGAACAGAUCAGCAAGUAUCAGAAACAGAACAACAAGAUGAAGAUUGAGCUGGACGAGAGACAUAAUGAGGCAGAGAAUUUAAAGCUCUACAGAACCACAGCGCACACCAACAAGUUCUCAACCAGAUCAGGUCCAGGCUAGAGGAACAUAAAAUGGAAAGAUGAGGAAAUGUCAAGCAAGAUGGCUACUAUAGAGGAUCUUCAUAACUGACUCAAACUCAACAUUGACAAUAUACAGCAGCUUAAUAGUCAGGUGUUACUGAUGAGUUUUGUUCAGCAGUUUGUUCCAGCAAUUUGUUCCAGUUUUAUACUGCAGUCUGUAGCAGUUCCUGAAGUUAUUCUUCCAAAGUUAUUGUUGA
Mercenaria mercenaria is the source of this 360-nucleotide long non-coding RNA. RefSeq lists it as uncharacterized. NCBI's taxonomy places the organism in Eukaryota, Metazoa, Mollusca, Bivalvia, Venerida, Veneridae. The transcript is spliced from 3 exons. The record is from RefSeq and is a predicted model, not a curated record.